RNAcentral lists this long non-coding RNA (5117 nucleotides) under Sus scrofa (pig). RNAcentral's name for it is "lncRNA (ENSSSCG00000060984.1)". Lineage: Eukaryota; Metazoa; Chordata; Mammalia; Artiodactyla; Suidae. The record is from RNAcentral.
UGUAGCCGCUGGCUUACACCACAUCCAUGUCAGAUCCAAGCUGCGUCUGUGACCUACAUCACAGCUCACAGCAACGCCAGAGCUUUAACCCUCUGAGUGAAGCCAAGGAUCACACCUGCAUUCUCAUGGAUGCUAGUCAGAUUCAUUUCCGCUGAGCCACGACAGGAACUUCUACAAUUUUUAUAUUACAUUUCAAUUAUACUAGAGAGAAUCAAGAAUCUGGCAUGAAGCAUAAUCUAGUAGGAAAUACAGUAAAAUAUGAGUAUUUAGUUCUCUGUCAAUAUAGAUUAUCAACAGAUUAUCCCAUUGUGGCUGAGCAGGUUAAGAACCCAACAUAAUGCCUGUGAGGACACAGGUUCAAUCCCUGGCCUAGCUCAGUUGGUUAAGGAUCUGGCAUUGCCAAAAGCUGUGGUAUAUGUCAGAAAUGCCACUCAGCUCCUAUGUUGCUGUGGCUGUGGUGUAGGCAGCUCCGAUUCAGCCCCUGGCCCAGGAACUUCCCUAUGACUCAUUUUAGAUUCUGAAAAUACAUGACAUUGUUUAUAGAAGCAUUUCUUUCUCCUUAAAAUGCAAUCAAAUUUCUAAGACUGUAAGAUCCGUAAUUAACUUUAGUCCUAGAUAGACUAAUGUUACUUAUUGAAACCAAUAUAUUUUGUUUUGUUUUGUUUUUUAAACCAAUGUUUUGAUGCUUGACCUAGGCAGCUAUUGCUAAUAAAAUUCCCUUAUUUAAAAUAACUCAGGAGUUCCUGUCGUGGCACAGUGGUUAACGAAUCUGACUAGGAACCAUGAGGUUGCAGGUUGGAUCCCUGGCCUCACUCAGUGGGUUAAGGAUCCAGCGUUGCCGUGAGCUGUGGUGUAAGUCGCAGAUGCGGCUCAGAUCUGGCAUUGCUGUGGCUGUGGUAUAGGCCUGUGGCUACAGCACCAAUUCGACCCCUAGCCUGGGAACCUCCAUAUGCUGCAGGAGUGGCCCUAGAAAAAAGGCAAAAAGACAAAUAAAAUAAAAUAAAAUAACUCAGUUAACAAAUGUCAAAAAAUCCUUUUUUUCUUUUAAGGAUUGUGUAGUGCAUGAUACAUUUCAAUAUGUAAAUGUAAUUGAUUAAUGCAUUCCCUAAACUAUUGCACAUAGAACAUUUUAUGCUGUAACUAAAAUAAUUACUUAUCCACCCUAAUUCAAGUAAUGAAAUGAUGAUGUAAUGAGAUUCGUACAGUAGAAAAUAAGUCUUGCUUUGACAGAAAAAAAAAAUAGUCUCAAGAUUAUCAGUCAGGGCAAAAACAUAAGAAUUGAGUAUUCACAAGUACCUACAAAUUGAUGGAAUAUUUCCCCUAAGUAUUAUUACCUUUCAAGUACCUUGUCGUUAUUUUUUAGGUCAUUUACAUUUAUAAUUAAAUAAUAUUUUAUAUUUCUUAAGAAUUUUUCUUUAAGCAUUUUUUCUAUUAAUAUAUUUUAAUUCUAACAAAGGUCAAUUAUUUUGAACUUAAAAGUAGGAAAAUAUUGAGAAAGUCAUAGCCUGCUCCUUUCCCCAACAGACAGAAUUUUUGACUUCAUAGACCUCUAUAACCUAAUGAAAUCCAUUUUACCAUUGAAAUUAUUAGGAUUUAUUGCUAAAAUUUUCUUAAUUUUUUGAUUUCAUAUUAAUAAUCUAUUUUGCUAUUUAUAAUUGAGCUCAUUUCUAUCAUCUUUCCAAACUGUGGGUCACUGAUAAGGAAAAUCUGUAUACUCUUCAUCCUCCUAUACUUAAUGCAGUGGCAUUAUAUGCAAGGCACAACAUAAAUUUUGUAGAAUAAUAGAUGGAUAAAUGAAUAAUUGGAUGAUCAUAUACUUACGGUAAAUAAUCUUAAAAGUUAUUUAUGUUCAAAAUCUGAACAAAAUCCACUAAACCUAAAAAUUCAUAAUCUAUAUUGACCCUUGCAUGAAAAUGAAUAAGGCGUAUUUCAAUUUCAGAUUCUUCAAUUACUCUAGAAAAGCUUUUUGUCUCCAUUUUUUAAUGUUUUAUUUUUCAUAAUAUUGAAAUGGGACCUGUGUACUAUUAAAAGGAAAAAGAUUUAAUGAUUUAUGAGCUAGUUUAUUUUCUAUUUUAAAGGCAUUCUGGAUAGCAACAGGUGUACAAGCUCCAUUUAUUCCAUCAAGACACCAUUUUAUGGUACUAUUGCAUAAUUCUUUAUUGAGUGAAAACAAAAACAAACACAAAAAUCACUUUAAUCCACAUUUUAUAGGCCAGAAAGACCUUUCUGAAUUUGAAAAAUAUUAAUACACUGAGAAAUUGCGUAUUUAUACACACACAUACAUACACAUACACAUGUAUACCUUUCUGAAAAAUGAAACUGAAUAAAACACACACUUAAGUCUAUGAAUGCACGAGUAAUGAAAGAAAAGUUAUAAAGAGAUUCAUUCAUUCCCAGACAAUAAAAUCACUGUUGUCAGUCACCUUCCUUCAUCAAAUCAGCCUGAAAAAUUCCAAAACUAUCAGGUUUUUUUUUUUCCCUUUACCUCCCAGGUUGUAUUGUCUAAAGAGAAUAUGGUAAUACAAAACCUUUGGGUUCAAAGUGAAAAAUUCUUACUGUGACAUAUGAAAAGCUAAGACUGAUGGUAACCAACAAAUCAUUUUAUUUCUCCUCCCAUUUCUUUUCUCAUUCUAUAUGUCUUCUGUAUUAAGCAUAACUGUAAGAAAGACAGUCAUCUCUGUCUAGACUAGGUGGCAGAAAAGGUGUUUUUGGAGCAAUGUUAGGAACUCAAGAACUAAUGGUAAACUGAAAGACCAAGCUUUGAAAACUGGUAAAAAAACAGAAGGUGGUCAGGAAACAUUACUAACCAUGCUUAAUAGAAAGGGUCUGAUUAGAACUCUGCCCCUACAACUGCCAAAGUCUGCUACUGGGCCUUGGUGUUGCAUUCACUGAAAACCUCUUCAUUUCCUAUAAAUGAACCCUAAAUACUCAUGCUUCCAACUCCAUAUUCAAAGUUUUUUGUGGGAGCAACUAUUUGGCUGAACCCAUUUCACAUGUCAAACUUUUGGUCAUUGGGGCAGAGAAGUGAAAGUUAGUCUUACUUUUAAUACUAUGGUGAGAAACAUGGCACUACAUCUCAAGAUAAUACACACAUCGAAGAGUAUUCCAAAACAAGAAAUGAAACCGAACUGAGAACAAUCAAAAUUAAACUGAAAAGUCCAUGGCCUUCUUCUAUAUUGUCUCAUAUCUGUCCAAGUUUUUCAGUUAUUACUGAAUGACCACUGUAUUUUUGUCUCCAUCUAAAAACUUAUUCCUGGGAUUCAGAUUCUUACAUCCAAGGGCUGGUAGAUAUUUAUACUUAUAUAGUUCACACAUAUCUCAAAACUAAAUAUGAUGCAUACAUAUCAUUUCUCAUUAAUCUCCCCCCAUUCAUCUCCAAAAAAAGAUUGUUCCUCAUUUCCUCACUCAGGAAAAAAUUAAAACAUUCUACUAAUUGCCAAAAUCAGGGAGUUAUCCUAACAACUGUUUCUUCUCUUACCUUCCAAGGAAUCAUUUACCAAAACGCGCCAUUUCUACAUCAUAUUAUCAUAGAGUCGCCACCCCACUUUCAAUACUUGCCUUUAAUACUUGGCAAUUUGAUUAUGGCAAACUCCUGUUUUCUUUGCCCUUAGUGUCACUCCUUUUCCUAUACAGUCAAUGUGAUAUUUCUAAAAGUAAAAUCACACUAUGCCAAAUACCUUCUUAAAUGGCUUCAAAAACUUCCUGUCUUUUAUUAUGGUUUAUAAACUUGCUUUCAUAGUUAUAGGCUGUAGUGAGUUUUAUACAUGUUUUAUUCUUCAGGCUCCCCUAUCACCAUUUUCUUAGCAUCCUAUAAACCAAAUUUAUAAAAUCACAUUGUAUCUAUAUUUUUAAAUGUUUGUUAGAAUCUUUUAAUAAUAGGAUAUUAAGAAAAAUAAAUGAAUGGCUGCACUAAAUGUACUUAAUAGUUGUAAGAUACAAGCUAUUUUUUGGAAAUAUCAAAAUGUAAGAAAGAUGUGUGCCGUGUAGCUAAAAACUGCCAGUAUCUAGAAUUUCAUAAACAUUUCUAUUUCUUGUGGCUUCCAUGCUUGGCAUGAGCUACUCUGUCAUCCUAGAGGGUCAAAUCACCCCCCACCAGCUUUUAAUCAUAUUAAAAACUAUAUGUAAAAAUUGUUCUCAAGAAGUCUUUUACUGAUUCACCGUCUAGAAUCCUCCUCAAUAACCGAAGAUACUCCCAGCAGCAUAAUAUUUUCAUUUAGUACCCAUUGUUGCCUCUGCCUAUGUAGUUAAAUGCUGAUUAGUCUGAAUGAUGGCCCCAAAGAUGUCAAUGUUCUAAUCCCCAGAACCUGAAAUUUUUACUUUUAUGGUAAAAAGAGUAUUGUAGAUAUGAUCAAAUUAAGGAAUUUGGGAUGAGAUUAUUUUGGACAACCUAGAUGGGCCCAAUAUACUCACAUGUAAUACUUCAAGGAGACCCUUAAGAAGCUUUACAGGCAUCAACUGGUAUUAAGUUCUUCCUUUAAUGGGGAUCUUGGUAUCACAUCUUUAUCUCUACAAAUAUAUGCAUAUGUUACAAGUUUUCUUAGUCCCAGGUGGGAACAGUAACCAGACUUCCAAGUAUGUUAUCAUUCUCCUUCUUCGAAAUGCGUACAUGUUUCAUAUAUGUUGAAAUAUACUCAUCUUAAUAUUUUAUUUAAAAAUAGAAAAUUAGAUAGGUAAGAUAUUAAGAAAUGAUUGAUAUAUUUGAGAAUUUUCCAGAAUUACUAGUAAUUCUGAUAUGUGAAUAGACAUAUUACUUUGUCUUUGGUAGAACUAAAGUAAUAUAUGGUUCCUGGCUCAUGGUAAAAUAGAAUACGGUAAAGGAAGUUAAGACAUGUCUUUUCCCAUUCUUCCUACUUCAAAAAUAAACACAUCCUACAAACUUUAUAUCUCAUAAAGUCUUUUUAGGACCACACCUGUGGCAUAUGGAACUUCCCAGGCUAGGGAUCGAAUCAGAGCUGCAGCCAAUAGCCUAUGCUACAGCCACAGCAAUGCAGGAUCCGAGCUUCAUCCAUGACCUACACCACAGCUCAUAAAAUCGUGGGAUUCCUUAAUCCACUGAGCAAAGCCAUGGAUAAAACCCUCAUCCUCAUGGAUACUAAUUGGGUUCAUUACCACUGAGC